UACGUAGGGGGCAAGCGUUAUCCGGAUUUACUGGGUGUAAAGGAAGCGCAGACGGCAGUGCAAGUCUGGAGUGAAAGCCCGGGGCUCAACCCCGGGACUGCAUUGGAAACUAUGUAACUAGAGUACCGGAGAGGUAAGCGGAAUUCCUAGUGUAGCGGUGAAAUGCGUAGAUAUUAGGAGGAACACCAGUGGCGAAGGCGGCUUACUGGACGAUGACUGACGCUGAGGCUCGAAAGCGUGGGGAGCAAACAGG
RNAcentral lists this ribosomal RNA (253 nucleotides) under uncultured Lachnospiraceae bacterium. Its description in RNAcentral is "partial 16S ribosomal RNA". It matches the Rfam family "Bacterial small subunit ribosomal RNA", at positions 524 to 776 of the family's 1533-position model. The record is from RNAcentral. Lineage: Bacteria; Bacillati; Bacillota; Clostridia; Lachnospirales; Lachnospiraceae.